This 254-nucleotide ribosomal RNA is filed under the name uncultured bacterium. RNAcentral describes it as "partial 16S ribosomal RNA". It matches the Rfam family "Bacterial small subunit ribosomal RNA", at positions 524 to 776 of the family's 1533-position model. The record is from RNAcentral.
UACAGAGGGUGCGAGCGUUAAUCGGAAUUACUGGGCGUAAAGCGCACGUAGGUGGCGACGUAAGUCGGGUGUGAAAGCCCCGGGCUCAACCUGGGAAUUGCAUUCGAGACUGUGUCGCUGGAGUACGGAAGAGGAAGGCGGAAUUCCCGGUGUAGCGGUGAAAUGCGUAAAUAUAUAGAGGAACACCAAUUGGCGAAGGCAGUUAGCUAUUCGGCUCCUGACGUUGAGGCACGAAAGCGUGGGGAGCAAGACGG